GAUGAACGCUAGCUACAGGCUUAACACAUGCAAGUCGAGGGGAAACGCCAUCGAAAGCUUGCUUUUGAUGGGCGUCGACCGGCGCACGGGUGAGUAACGCGUAUCCAACCUGCCCAUCACUUGUUAAUAACCUUGCGAAAGUAAGACUAAUACCCCAUGAUAUCCCACGAAGGCAUCGGAAUGGGAUUAAAGAUUUAUCGGUGAUGGAUGGGGAUGCGUGUGAUUAGCUUGUUGGCGGGGUAACGGCCGACCAAGGCAACGAUCAGUAGGGGUUCUGAGAGGAAGGUCCCCCACGUGGGAACGGAGACACGGGCGAAACUGCUACGGGAGGCAGCAGUGAGGAAGGUGGGUGAAUGGGGGGGAGCCUGAAGCAGCCAAGUAGCGUGCAGGAAGACGGCGGUAGGGGUUGUGAACUGCGUGUAGAAGGGAAGAAAGUGGGUGACGGGUGAGUGGUUGCAGGUACCUGAUGAAUAAGGACCGGCUAAUUCCGUG
Molecule: ribosomal RNA, 492 nt
Filed under: uncultured bacterium
Lineage: Bacteria
Description: partial 16S ribosomal RNA
Rfam family: Bacterial small subunit ribosomal RNA
Source: RNAcentral